AACCUUUACAAAUUAAUCAAAUUAAGCGAUAAUAGUAAGUGCUAAUAUAUAGCUAUAGUAAUAAACGUAAUUUAGAAUAGAGGUUGCGGACUCGGGGGCAGUACCCGACGCCUCCACCAAUACUCAUACUCGAUGAAUUUCAAAAAUUGGCUACGUUGUCCUACAAGUACUCCGGUACUCACGUAUUAAGUAACUGCUUCCGUUCCUCGUCUUGUGGACGCCUUGCUCUUUUUGAAAUUGAUCUUCGUAUAACAAUAUGAUGCAAAUACUGCUUGUAUUUUAAAAAUUGAAUUUUAUUUUGAUGGGUGAGUGAGCGGAGCGUAUACUUAAUACGUGAGCAUCACGAAUCCCUGAUAAAAUGAAAUUCAAUUUUUAAAAAAUAAGUAGUAUUUUGAGGGGGCGAAAUAGGAUCGACGUGCCUAAUAAAAAAAUUGCUUUUACUCGGGAUGAUUCCGCCGCAGGCUUUUGCCUUACGGGUCAAAACAAAGAAACGCAAACGAUAACAAUCGUUAUGCAGGUACUCCAGCUUUAGCUGUAGCAUAAACCUGUGCGGUUUGGGGGUUUACCGGGCAACAGAAAAACCCUCAA
Molecule: transfer-messenger RNA, 588 nt
Filed under: Rickettsia endosymbiont of Degeeriella rufa
Lineage: Bacteria; Pseudomonadati; Pseudomonadota; Alphaproteobacteria; Rickettsiales; Rickettsiaceae
Rfam family: Alphaproteobacteria transfer-messenger RNA
About the family: Bacterial tmRNA, also known as 10Sa RNA or SsrA, is named for its dual tRNA and mRNA-like properties. Its role is to liberate the mRNA from a stalled ribosome.
Source: RNAcentral